UACGUAGGGGUGCGAGCGUUGUCCGGAAUUAUUGGGCGUAAAGAGCUUGUAGGCGGUUUGUCGCGUCUGCCGUGAAAGCCCAGGGCUUAACCCUGGGUCUGCGGUGGGUACGGGCAGACUAGAGUGAUGUAGGGGAGACUGGAAUUCCUGGUGUAGCGGUGAAAUGCGCAGAUAUCAGGAGGAACACCGAUGGCGAAGGCAGGUCUCUGGGCAUUAACUGACGCUGAGGAGCGAAAGCAUGGGGAGCGAACAGG
Molecule: ribosomal RNA, 254 nt
Filed under: uncultured bacterium
Lineage: Bacteria
Description: partial 16S ribosomal RNA
Rfam family: Bacterial small subunit ribosomal RNA
Source: RNAcentral